AGUCCUGUAGUAUAUAAUUUACACGAGAUUGCAAAUCUUGAGACGGAGAUUAGGAUUCUCCCGGGGCUU
Molecule: transfer RNA, 69 nt
Filed under: Rhina ancylostomus
Lineage: Eukaryota; Metazoa; Chordata; Chondrichthyes; Rhinopristiformes; Rhinidae
Description: tRNA-Cys
Source: RNAcentral